AUUGAACGCUGGCGGCAGGCCUAACACAUGCAAGUCGAGCGGAUGAAGGGGGCUUGCUCCUGGAUUCAGCGGCGGACGGGUGAGUAAUACGCAGGAAUCUACCUAGUAGUGGGGGAUAACGUUCCGAAAGGGGCGCUAAUACCGCAUACGUUCUGAGGAAGAAAGCAGGGGCUCGUAAGACCUUGCGCUAUUAGAUGAGCUUGCGUCCGAUUAGCUAGUUGGUGGGGUAAAGGCCUACCAAGGCGACGAUCGGUAACUGGUCUGAGAGGAUGAUCAGUCACACUGGAACUGAGACACGGUCCAGACUCCUACGGGAGGCAGCAGUGGGGAAUAUUGGACAAUGGGGGCAACCCUGAUCCAGCCAUGCCGCGUGUGUGAAGAAGGCCUUCGGGUCGUAAAGCACUUUUUGAGAGGAUGAGGAAGGACGGUACUCUCAGAAUAAGUCUCGGCUAACUACGUG
Molecule: ribosomal RNA, 460 nt
Filed under: uncultured bacterium
Lineage: Bacteria
Description: bacterial SSU rRNA
Rfam family: Bacterial small subunit ribosomal RNA
Source: RNAcentral